AAUCCGGGAGAGUAUUCAGGUCACCCAAAAUACCGGGUGAUGAUAGGGAAAACGGUGAAAUACCGUUGCGGUUCCGCCGCUGUAAUCGGAACGAAAUUCAGGAAAACCACUGUACCUGUUUGAAAGGUAUGGGAAGGCCUGAUGAUUAGGAUGCCGAAAGCCAGAAGACCUGCCUGAGUAUAACUUCACAU
RNAcentral lists this non-coding RNA (191 nucleotides) under Candidatus Schekmaniibacteriota. The record is from RNAcentral.